This 190-nucleotide non-coding RNA is filed under the name Pseudonocardia sp. The record is from RNAcentral. Lineage: Bacteria; Bacillati; Actinomycetota; Actinomycetes; Pseudonocardiales; Pseudonocardiaceae.
AUGGACGUCCUACUAUAUGGUGGCAAAUGUUCAUGGUGCAGGGAAGUCGGUGUAAUUCCGACGCGGUCCCGCCACUGUGACCGGGGAGCUCGUCCCCUCGCGCCACUGGCAGUCCUUCGGGGCGGCUGGGAAGGCGGGGAAAGGGUGUCGAUCCGGGAGCCAGGAUACCGGCCGUGAACGUCCGUGCGAU